RNAcentral lists this ribosomal RNA (437 nucleotides) under uncultured bacterium. RNAcentral's name for it is "bacterial SSU rRNA". It matches the Rfam family "Bacterial small subunit ribosomal RNA", at positions 337 to 791 of the family's 1533-position model. The record is from RNAcentral.
GCCUACGGGGGGCAGCAGUGGGGAAUAUUGGACAAUGGGCGAAAGCCUGAUCCAGCAAUGCCGCGUGAGUGAUGAAGGCCUUCGGGUCGUAAAGCUCUUUUACCAGGGAUGAUAAUGACAGUACCUGGAGAAUAAGCUCCGGCUAACUCCGUGCCAGCAGCCGCGGUAAUACGGAGGGAGCUAGCGUUGUUCGGAAUUACUGGGCGUAAAGAGUACGUAGGCGGUUAUUCAAGUCAGAGGUGAAAGCCCGGGGCUCAACCCCGGAACUGCCUUUGAAACUAGAUAACUAGAGUCUUGGAGAGGUUAGUGGAAUUCCGAGUGUAGAGGUGAAAUUCGUAGAUAUUCGGAAGAACACCAGUGGCGAAGGCGACUAACUGGACAAGUACUGACGCUGAGGUACGAAAGCGUGGGGAGCAAACAGGAUUAGAUACCCUGGU